AUCGCUUCUCGGCCUUUUGGCUAAGAUCAAGUGUAAUAUCUUGGUUAUUACUGGCUUAAUAUGGCCUUUGACAUGUAAUAUGAAGUAAAAUAAUGUUUGACAAAAUCAACAUAGAAGAGAUUUGGAGGCCCAAAAGUUAUGACUGCUUAUGUAGUUUUGUUAGUUUUAAUUUCAAUGAGCAGUUUUGC
Molecule: small nuclear RNA, 188 nt
Organism: Marmota flaviventris (yellow-bellied marmot)
Lineage: Eukaryota; Metazoa; Chordata; Mammalia; Rodentia; Sciuridae
Product: U2 spliceosomal RNA
Source: RefSeq, a predicted model, not a curated record